AACCGUUAUAACCGGCGAUACCCGAAUGGGGAAACCCAGUGUGAUUCGUCACACUAUCAUUAACUGAAUCCAUAGGUUAAUGAGGCGAACCGGGGGAACUGAAACAUCUAAGUACCCCGAGGAAAAGAAAUCAACCGAGAUUCCCCCAGUAGCGGCGAGCGAACGGGGAGGAGCCCAGAGCCUGAAUCAGCAUGUGUGUUAGUGGAAGCGUCUGGAAAGGCGCGCGAUACAGGGUGACAGCCCCGUACACAAAAGCGCAUGUGCUGUGAGCUCGAUGAGUAGGGCGGGACACGUGGUAUCCUGUCUGAAUAUGGGGGGACCAUCCUCCAAGGCUAAAUACUCCUGACUGACCGAUAGUGAACCAGUACCGUGAGGGAAAGGCGAAAAGAACCCCGGCGAGGGGAGUGAAAAAGAACCUGAAACCGUGUACGUACAAGCAGUGGGAGCACCCUUUGGGUGUGACUGCGUACCUUUUGUAUAAUG
Molecule: ribosomal RNA, 483 nt
Filed under: Salmonella enterica subsp. enterica serovar Enteritidis
Lineage: Bacteria; Pseudomonadati; Pseudomonadota; Gammaproteobacteria; Enterobacterales; Enterobacteriaceae
Description: partial 23S ribosomal RNA
Rfam family: Bacterial large subunit ribosomal RNA
Source: RNAcentral